AUGAACGCUAGCGACAGGCUAACACAUGCAAGUCGAGGGGUAACAGGGUAGCAAUACCGCUGACGACCGGCGCACGGGUGAGUAACGCGUAUGCAACCUGCCUAUAACUGGGGAAUAGCUCCCUGAAAGGGGAAUUAACACCGCAUAACACUAUUGAUUCGCAUGGAUUGGUAGUCAAAUGUAGCGAUACAGGUUAUAGAUGGGCAUGCGUGACAUUAGCUAGUUGGUGAGGUAACGGCUCACCAAGGCUACGAUGUCUAGGGGUUCUGAGAGGAAGGUCCCCCACACUGGUACUGAGACACGGACCAGACUCCUACGGGAGGCAGCAGUGAGGAAUAUUGGUCAAUGGGCGCAAGCCUGAACCAGCCAUGUCGCGUGCAGGAAGACUGCCCUAUGGGUUGUAAACUGCUUUUAUAGUAGAAGAAACACAUCUACGUGUAGAUGUCUGCCAGUAUACUAUGAAUAAGCAUCGGCUAACUCCGUGCCAGCCGCAGC
Molecule: ribosomal RNA, 495 nt
Filed under: uncultured bacterium
Lineage: Bacteria
Description: bacterial SSU rRNA
Rfam family: Bacterial small subunit ribosomal RNA
Source: RNAcentral